Antechinus flavipes (yellow-footed antechinus) is the source of this 618-nucleotide long non-coding RNA. RefSeq lists it as uncharacterized. The transcript is spliced from 5 exons. Lineage: Eukaryota; Metazoa; Chordata; Mammalia; Dasyuromorphia; Dasyuridae. The record is from RefSeq and is a predicted model, not a curated record.
CCGCUUGUUGCAAAUGCGGAUCUGAAACCAGGAGAGAGGAGAGAAGCGCUCAGAGACCGCCGGCCGCGUGCUCAGCCGCCCAGGCCCCCGCGGGGGAAAGAAGAACCUAUCAUGAGCCUUAGCUGACUGGUUUCAUGGUCAUGACUAUAUAUCUCCUAGUUUGGGAACCAAGGGCUGUCAAGUGAGGCAAUUCCAAAUGGAUUUGUGGAUUGGAGUUUUCAGCACUGCUGUUGGAAGCCUAACAGGCACAUGAUUGUUGUAAGGAUUAGAUGAAGAAACAUGAAUAUGGAUCAAAACUAGGUCUGAAGGGCUCUGUCAAUAAGUGACAUCUGGGAUGGGUUAUUGAGAAGUACUGGAGUGAUUUGCCAUUUCCUUCUCCAAUUCAUUUGACAGACGAGGAAACUGAGGCACACGGGGUAAAGUGAUUUCCCCAAGGCCACACAGUUAAUGAGUGUCAGAGACCAGAUUUGAAGUUAAGAAGAGAAGUCCUGGGUACCAGAGUUUUAAUGUACUGUUUAAUGGCCUUUUUCCCAUUUGAGUUUGACAUCACUGGUCCAAUUUAUCUUUAUUAUAGAGUAUAUAGAGCUAAUUCUCUCAGAAUAAAGUGAUACAACAUGA